Molecule: transfer RNA, 84 nt
Filed under: Caudoviricetes sp.
Lineage: Duplodnaviria; Heunggongvirae; Uroviricota; Caudoviricetes
Description: tRNA-OTHER
Rfam family: tRNA
About the family: Transfer RNA (tRNA) molecules are approximately 80 nucleotides in length. Their secondary structure includes four short double-helical elements and three loops (D, anti-codon, and T loops). Further hydrogen bonds mediate the characteristic L-shaped molecular structure. tRNAs have two regions of fundamental functional importance: the anti-codon, which is responsible for specific mRNA codon recognition, and the 3' end, to which the tRNAs corresponding amino acid is attached (by aminoacyl-tRNA synthetases). tRNAs cope with the degeneracy of the genetic code in two manners: having more than one tRNA (with a specific anti-codon) for a particular amino acid; and 'wobble' base-pairing, i.e. permitting non-standard base-pairing at the 3rd anti-codon position.
Source: RNAcentral
GGCAUUGUAGCUCAAUCGGUAGAGCGCACGGUGGGGAAACGCCAUCGAUGGUCGUUGCUGGUUCAAGCCUAGCCAAUGCCGCCA